GAGUCCUUAACUGACGCUAAAGCUCGAAAGUGCGGGUAUCGAACAGGAUUAGAUACCCUGGUAGUCCGCACGGUAAACGAUGGAUGCCCGCUGUUGGCGAUAUAUUGUCAGCGGCCAAGCGAAAGCGUUAAGCAUCCCACCUGGGGAGUACGCCGGCAACGGUGAAACUCAAAGGAAUUGACGGGGGCCCGCACAAGCGGAGGAACAUGUGGUUUAAUUCGAUGAUACGCGAGGAACCUUACCCGGGCUUGAACUGCCAGCGAACGAUACAGAGAUGUUGAGGCCCUUCGGGGCGCUGGUGGAGGUGCUGCAUGGUUGUCGUCAGCUCGUGCCGUGAGGUGUCGGCUUAAGUGCCAUAACGAGCGCAACCCCUCUCGCCAGUUGCCAUCAGGUGAUGCUGGGCACUCUGGCGACACUGCCACCGUAAGGUGUGAGGAAGGUGGGGAUGACGUCAAAUCAGCACGGCCCUUACGUCCGGGGCUACACACGUGUUACAAUGGGUGGUACAGAGAGUCAAUCCCCAGCAAUGUGGAUUCAAUCCUUAAAGCCAUCCUCAGUUCGGAUUGGGGUCUGCAACCCGACCCCAUGAAGCUGGAUUCGC
This 601-nucleotide ribosomal RNA is filed under the name uncultured bacterium. Its description in RNAcentral is "bacterial SSU rRNA". It matches the Rfam family "Bacterial small subunit ribosomal RNA", at positions 730 to 1335 of the family's 1533-position model. The record is from RNAcentral.